Molecule: ribosomal RNA, 844 nt
Filed under: marine metagenome
Description: bacterial SSU rRNA
Rfam family: Bacterial small subunit ribosomal RNA
Source: RNAcentral
AGAGUUUGAUCCUGGCUCAGGACGAACGCUGGCGGUGCGCCUUAUGCAUGCAAGUCGAGCGAAGCUUUUCAGUAGUUUACUACAGAAAAUGACUGAGCGGCGAACGGGUGAGUAACGCGUGAGCAAUCUACCUUAGUUACAGGGAUAGCCCGAGGAAACUCGGAUUAAUACCUGAUAUUCUUUAUAUUUCGCAUGAAAUCAAAAGGAAAGGUCAGCCGAACUAAGAUGAGCUCGCGUUCUAUCAGCUAGUUGGUGAGGUAAAAGCUCACCAAGGCAACGACGGAUAGCUGGUCUGAGAGGACGAUCAGCCACACUGGGACUGAGACACGGCCCAGACUCCUACGGGAGGCUGCAGCAGGGAAUAUUGCGCAAUGAGCGAAAGCUUGACGCAGCGACACCGCGUGUGGGAUGACGGAUCUAGGUUUGUAAACCACUUUCAGGAGGGAAGAAAAUGACGGUACCUCCACAAGAAGCCCCGGCCAACUACGUGCCAGCAGCCGCGGUAAUACGUAGGGGGCGAGCGUUGUCCGGAUUUAUUGGGCGUAAAGAGCUCGUAGGCGGUUCAACAAGUCGGUCGUAAAAGUUCAGGGCUCAACCCUGAAAUGUCGAUCGAUACUGUUGUGACUAGGAUACGGUAGAGGUGAGUGGAAUUCCGAGUGUAGCGGUGAAAUGCGUAGAUAUUCGGAGGAACACCAAUUGCGAAGGCAGCUCACUGGGCCGCUAUCGACGCUGAGGAGCGAAAGCUAGGGGAGCAAACAGGAUUAGAUACCCUGGUAGUCCUAGCUGUAAACGAUGGAUACUAGACGUAGGAACUGGAUUGACGGUUUCUGUGUCGUAGCUAACG